This 620-nucleotide non-coding RNA is filed under the name Stegodyphus mimosarum. RNAcentral describes it as "eukaryotic small subunit ribosomal RNA". It matches the Rfam family "Eukaryotic small subunit ribosomal RNA", at positions 1 to 549 of the family's 1831-position model. Lineage: Eukaryota; Metazoa; Arthropoda; Arachnida; Araneae; Eresidae. The record is from Rfam by way of RNAcentral.
AAUAUGGCUGCCAGUAGUCAUAUACUUAUCUCAAAGACUAAGCCAUGCACGUUACAUGCCUCAUUAAAGAGACAUUGGGAAUGGCUCAUUAUGUCCGAUAUGGUUCCUUGCAUCGUACCUUACUACUUGGAGAACUGUGGCAAUUCUAGAACUAAUACAGCAGAGCUCCGACUCUCUGGGGACAAGCGCUUUUAUUAGACCGAAACCAGUCGGAUCUGGUGUCUGUAUUAUAUAGUGACUCCGCAUAACUUUGGGCUGAUUGCACGGGCUCGUCCCUGCGACUUAGCUUUCUAUCGACUUAUCUUUCAAGUGUCUGCCUUAUCAACUGUCCAUGGUAAGUUACGCGCCUACAAUGGUCGUAACAGGUGACGAAGAAUCAGGGUUAGAUUCCGGAGAGGAAGUCCGAGAACCGGCUACCAUAUGCAAGGAAGACGGCAGGUGUCCAAAUUACCCAUUCCCAGAACGGGGAGGUAGUGACGAAAAAUCAUUAGGUUCACCGUUGUUACCAGUGAUAAUUUGAAAAUGCUUGGUGUGUUCGCAAAUGAACGUCAAUACCUAUCGCACGGGCGCUAAGUCUUCACUACAGAUAGCGGAAUUCCCUUUGAGCAUACAGAUCAAUU